UUCAGAUGGUCUUUGGUGUUUUCCUCUGGC
This 30-nucleotide non-coding RNA is filed under the name Rattus norvegicus (Norway rat). Lineage: Eukaryota; Metazoa; Chordata; Mammalia; Rodentia; Muridae. The record is from RNAcentral.